CCAAAUGUCACGUGUUCUCACAUAUAAGUGAGAGCUAAAUGAUUUCCCUGGAACCCAUUCCUUAUACCAUGGAAGAAGCUCAUUCUAGUCCACAGAGAGAGACAUGAAGAGGCUCACAUAGAAAGGAAUGGAGAUCUCCAGCCAAGGGUCAAUAUAAAUUUCCAGAUAAGUGAAUGAAUGAGCCUUCAGAUGAUUCCAGUCCCCACCCUUUGGGUCUUUCAGAUGAGGCCUGAGACAUUAUGAUGCAAAGACAGUCUUCUCUUCUAUGUUCUGUCCAAAUCCCUUACCCAGAGAGUCGAAAAAGUGAUUCCCUGCAAUUUAAUGCAACUCUCCUUGGAAAAGAACAAGAAUAUACUCACUUCCAGAAAUGCUGAAAACGCUAAGUUCCAGUGCAUCUAGCACCAGGUAUAAGAUAUCUGUGUGAUGCCCAUUCCUACACUACCUCUUGAAAAUCCCAUCUUGAUACUCUGUAAUCUAUCAUAAAAUUUAAAGCAAAUUUUCAAAACUAACCUUAUGUUAA
Molecule: long non-coding RNA, 520 nt
Filed under: Homo sapiens (human)
Lineage: Eukaryota; Metazoa; Chordata; Mammalia; Primates; Hominidae
Description: HSALNT0315104
Source: RNAcentral